Oncorhynchus tshawytscha (Chinook salmon) is the source of this 1447-nucleotide long non-coding RNA. The record is from Ensembl. NCBI's taxonomy places the organism in Eukaryota, Metazoa, Chordata, Actinopteri, Salmoniformes, Salmonidae.
CAGAUAUUCUGCUACUGUGUACUCUCUGUUUAGGGAAAAAUACCAUUCUAGUCAGCUCAGUUUUUAUGUAAAUUAUUUCCAAUGUGUCAAGUAAUUAUCUUUUUGUUUUCUCAUGAUUUGCUUGGGUCUGUGUUGCUGUUGCUGUCCUGGAGAGAUGAACCUGGAGAAGAGUCCCCUAAGCAAGCUGGUCCUGGGGCUCUGUUCACAAACACACCCUACAGAGCCAUCACCUACAGAGAGAUGAACCUGGAGAAGAGUUCCCUAAGCAAGCUGGUCCUGGGGCUCUGUUCACAAACACAAACAGACUCCACAGAGCCCCAGGACAGCAACAGUGUCCUUUCUUCCAAAGGCAGAAGAUGAAGACAGACAUCCUAUACACAGAAGAGGGUUCCUCCACAAUGGAACCCUGGUCCCUAUGUAGUGCACACUAUAUGAAAUAUGGUGUCACUAAAGCACUGGGGUUGCAAAGGGAGGGUAUAUUACUGGAAAAUUUACCAGUAAACUACCAGCAUUUUUGGUAACUUUCAAGGAUUUUAUGUAAUCUAUUACAAGACAUCUAGUGGCCCGUUUGGAUACUUCAGAUUAUCACAGGUGUCUGUAAUUGUGAAAUAUGACAUAAUUAAAUAAUAUUUUAAAAUAAAAAUAUAUAUAAUUACAAAGCUGUACAAUAUUAUCUUGAAUAUAAAGCAUCAACUUAGUGAAUAUCAUUGGUGUUUAAUAUGAGAGUUUCAGUAUGAAAUAUAUAUUUGUAUUUUUUACACUUAUUUAUUUUAUUUUGUCAGCAUGUAUUGUUGUCAAUGUUGUUAAGUUUAUUAAAAGCAAUUAUAUUGUCGAUGAAUUAGACCGUUUUCUCCUCAACCACAUGUUCUAUCUCCUAGAAAGUUAUGAACAAUAUCCACACAGAUAUAAAUAUUAUAUAUUAAUAAACCGUUUUAAUAUAAAGUUAAGAUUGCCGUAUAUUUUUUGGUUUAAUUAGUGAAGAUUACGCUCACUUUGUUAUUAAAUCACCAGUAACUUUGCCUCGUAGGGGACAUUCAGAGUCGGUCUGCUUGUUUAGUAAACGGACUGUCACAACGUCAUUGAUACCCAACUCACCUUCAAAGCAAAGCCUUUUUGGACUUAUGUACAUAUCUGUACAUACCAGUGCAAUGAUUAUUUUACUAAAUGAUUAUUAUUUUUUUUUGUGUCAGAAUUUUGCACUUAAAUACUAUAUUUUUUAUAAAAAGGCGAAUAUUGAGCAAUAUUAUUUUAUUAUUAUUAUUUGAACUUCUGAAUUUGUAUAUUGCUAACUAUUUUCCUUUUUUCAUUUGUAGUUUUUGUUGGUUGUAAAGGGAAUAUAGUUAUUUUUAGACUUUUAUAACAAAUGAUCAACUGCUUAUAGACACGUUUAUAGAGAGAGAGAAACAUACGUGGACUUCACUAAAUAAAUAAAGGAAUAUAUUCACAA